RNAcentral lists this small nuclear RNA (69 nucleotides) under Sorex araneus (European shrew). Lineage: Eukaryota; Metazoa; Chordata; Mammalia; Eulipotyphla; Soricidae. The record is from RNAcentral.
GUGCUAUCGCUUCGGCAGCACAUAUACUAAAAUUGGAACGAUACAGAGAAGAUUAGCAUGGUCCUGCGC